UAUUCCACACGACCCCAGGUCAGGCGGGAUUACCCGCUGAGUUUA
Molecule: ribosomal RNA, 45 nt
Filed under: Moeroris amara
Lineage: Eukaryota; Viridiplantae; Streptophyta; Magnoliopsida; Malpighiales; Phyllanthaceae
Description: Phyllanthus amarus partial 26S ribosomal RNA
Source: RNAcentral